RNAcentral lists this ribosomal RNA (490 nucleotides) under uncultured bacterium. Its description in RNAcentral is "partial 16S ribosomal RNA". It matches the Rfam family "Bacterial small subunit ribosomal RNA", at positions 30 to 507 of the family's 1533-position model. The record is from RNAcentral.
AUUGAACGCUGGCGGCAGGCCUAACACAUGCAAGUCGAACGGUAACAGGAAGAAGCUUGCUUCUUUGCUGACUAGUGGCGGACGGGUGAGUAAUGUCUGGGAAACUGCCUGAUGGAGGGGGAUAACUACUGGAAACGGUAGCUAAUACCGCAUAACGUCGCAAGACCAAAAAGGGGGACCUUCGGGCCUCUUGCCAUCGGAUGUGCCCAGAUGGGAUUAGCUAGUAGGUGGGGUAACGGCUCACCUAGGCGACGAUCCCUAGCUGGUCUAAGAGGAUGACCAGCCACACUGGAACUGAGACACGGUCCAGACUCCUACGGGAGGCAGCAGUGGGGAAUAUUGCACAAUGGGCGCAAGCCUGAUGCAGCCAUGCCGCGUGUAUGAAGAAGGCCUUCGGGUUGUAAAGUACUUUCAGCGGGGAGGAAGGGAGUAAAGUUAAUACCUUUGCUCAUUGACGUUACCCGCAGAAGAAGCACCGGCUAACUCCGUG